GAAGCUGCCAUUGGAUUCAAGGCGAAGUAUUUACUGAAAUGGUUAACGUGACAGCUGGGGGGAAGAGGGAUCAUCAAAUGAGAUUAUGAGGCGACAGGUUCAAAAGAAGAUGCCUCUUCGCACAAAAUGCAAUUACAUCUUGGAACACGUCGCUACAGGAUGUUGGGGAUGUGAGAAGCUCAAAAUGCAAUUAGGUAUGAUCAUAGAAGAAAAAUCCAUGUGGGGACGUCCGACACGAACACCUCUGAUUCAGGACCUCUUUGAGGUGCAAAUGCGCAUCCUGCGGAAGCGUUUUGGGGAGCAGCCUCCCCAGUCCUCACUCUGUCAUUAGGCGAUUCCUGUCGGCUGCUGUAGGAGAUAAUCCUGGACGGGGACUAGAAAUGCUGCUCCUCUGACCCAGCGCAGGCAUCCCUGUGUUUAACCGUCAUUUCAUUCAAACGUUUUCCCACAAUCUUUAAUCAAUAACAAGCAGCAAUUCUGGUAAUAAACUUUUUGCGGUGCCUCAGUGGUGUUUCCUUGUGUGUUUGUUCUUCCCCGCCUGCUGCUUUGAUUGUGGGCUGGAAGGAGGGCGGAAGGCUGUUUGGCCAUUUGUUUGUGUAGCACCAGUUUAUCAAACCGAGCACUGAUCUGUGCUUGCGCUUUCCAGCAUCCGUAUUCUUUGAUACGAAUAAACGAUUGAUCUAUGUCUCUGAAGGUGGCCACAAGCCAAAAGGUUUGCUGCUCAUAUAAACGCCCACAGCAGGCAAACAGGGAGCUCCACUCCUCGUUAGCUAGCAGAACGAGCCAGGUGGGUGGCUUGAGGUGGCUUGGCCUCUGCCCCAAGGGUCUGCACACACGAGAGGUCUUCUACUCCACGUCCACACAUGACUGCCUUUGUGUUGGGUGCCUCGGCUGGAAAGGACGGGGUGUCCCUGAGGAGACAUGCCUAAACUAUAAUGCUCUGCAAUGGAAGUGCCCUGAGGUCAUAUGGGGAACAGGAACACGAUCGCCUCACUGUAUUGCACAGUAUUCACAAGAGAACUUCUGA
RNAcentral lists this long non-coding RNA (1027 nucleotides) under Anas zonorhyncha (Eastern spot-billed duck). RNAcentral's name for it is "lncRNA (ENSAZOG00000002888.1)". Lineage: Eukaryota; Metazoa; Chordata; Aves; Anseriformes; Anatidae. The record is from RNAcentral.